RNAcentral lists this ribosomal RNA (252 nucleotides) under uncultured bacterium. RNAcentral's name for it is "partial 16S ribosomal RNA". It matches the Rfam family "Bacterial small subunit ribosomal RNA", at positions 524 to 776 of the family's 1533-position model. The record is from RNAcentral.
UACAGGGGGCUCGAGCGUUAGUCGGAAUCACUGGGCUUAAAGGGUGCGUAGCGGUCCGCCAAGUGCUUUGUGAAAUCCCACAGCUCAACUGUGGAACAGCAGGGCAAACUGGAGGACUUGAGGCAGGUAGGGGCCGGAAGAACAGUUGGUGGAGCGGUGAAAUGCGUAGAUAUCAACUGGAAUGCCGAUGGGGAAGCCGUCCGGCUGGGCCUGUCCUGACGCUGAGGCACGAAAGCGUGGGGAGCAAACAGG